UUGAACGCUGGCGGCAGGCCUAACACAUGCAAGUCGAGCGGCAGCGGGAAAGUAGCUUGCUACUUUUGCCGGCGAGCGGCGGACGGGUGAGUAAUGCCUGGGAAAUUGCCCAGUCGAGGGGGAUAACAGUUGGAAACGACUGCUAAUACCGCAUACGCCCUACGGGGGAAAGCAGGGGACCUUCGGGCCUUGCGCGAUUGGAUAUGCCCAGGUGGGAUUAGCUAGUUGGUGAGGUAAUGGCUCACCAAGGCGACGAUCCCUAGCUGGUCUGAGAGGAUGAUCAGCCACACUGGAACUGAGACACGGUCCAGACUCCUACGGGAGGCAGCAGUGGGGAAUAUUGCACAAUGGGGGAAACCCUGAUGCAGCCAUGCCGCGUGUGUGAAGAAGGCCUUCGGGUUGUAAAGCACUUUCAGCGAGGAGGAAAGGUUGAUGCCUAAUACGUAUCAACUGUGACGUUACUCGCAGAAGAAGCACCGGCUAACUCCGUG
RNAcentral lists this ribosomal RNA (491 nucleotides) under Aeromonas hydrophila. RNAcentral's name for it is "bacterial SSU rRNA". It matches the Rfam family "Bacterial small subunit ribosomal RNA", at positions 30 to 507 of the family's 1533-position model. The record is from RNAcentral. Lineage: Bacteria; Pseudomonadati; Pseudomonadota; Gammaproteobacteria; Aeromonadales; Aeromonadaceae.